CCCCUAGAUGUUCAGGGCCGCACGCGCGCUACACUGAACAGUUCAACAAGUCUUAACCUUGGCCGAUAGGUCUGGGUAAUCUUUGAACGCUGUUCGUGAUUGGGAUAGACCUUUGCAAUUAUGGGUCUUCAACGAGGAAUUCCUAGUAAACGCAAGUCAUCAGCUUGCAUUGAUUACGUCCCUGCCCUUUGUACACACCGCCCGUCGCACCUACCGAUUGAAUGGUCCGGUGAAAUCUCGGGACGGCGGCUUGGUCGCUUGCGUCCGACUGCUGAAACUUGAUUAAACCAUAUCAUUUAGAGGAAGGUGAAGUCGUANCA
Molecule: ribosomal RNA, 320 nt
Filed under: uncultured eukaryote
Lineage: Eukaryota
Description: partial 18S ribosomal RNA
Rfam family: Eukaryotic small subunit ribosomal RNA
Source: RNAcentral